This 209-nucleotide unclassified non-coding RNA is filed under the name uncultured fungus. RNAcentral's name for it is "partial contains 18S rRNA, ITS1, 5.8S rRNA, ITS2 and 28S rRNA". Lineage: Eukaryota; Fungi. The record is from RNAcentral.
AAGGAUCAUUACAAGUUAAAGUUAGUUGUGCGUAAGGUUGAGUGGGUGGAGUCUCGAAAACCUAAUCGGGGAACGUUUUCUGAUCGCCAGCCGCCCCCGCGGCCUGCCUACUCGCCUUAUGCCUGCUACUAUACACGCGUGUUGUGUUUGACAGAGUUAUAUGUUUACAUAAUGAAUGAAAACUUUUAACAAUGGAUCUCUUGGUUCUC